AUACGGAGGAUGCGAGCGUUAUCCGGAUUUAUUGGGUUUAAAGGGAGCGUAGGUGGGAUAUUAAGUCAGCUGUGAAAGUUUGGGGCUCAACCUUAAAAUUGCAGUUGAUACUGGUUUCCUUGAGUACGGUACAGGUGGGCGGAAUUCGUGGUGUAGCGGUGAAAUGCUUAGAUAUCACGAAGAACUCCGAUCGCGAAGGCAGCUCACCAGGCCGGAACUGACACUGAUGCUCGAAAGUGCGGGUAUCAAACAGGAUUAGAUACCCUGGUAGUCCGCACAGUAAACGAUGAAUACUCGCUGUUUGCGAUACACGGUAAGCGGCCAAGCGAAAGCGUUAAGUAUUCCACCUGGGGAGUACGCCGGCAACGGUGAAACUCAAAUGAAUUGACGGGG
Molecule: ribosomal RNA, 393 nt
Filed under: uncultured bacterium
Lineage: Bacteria
Description: partial 16S ribosomal RNA
Rfam family: Bacterial small subunit ribosomal RNA
Source: RNAcentral